This is a long non-coding RNA of Dermacentor silvarum, 340 nucleotides long. RefSeq lists it as uncharacterized. Lineage: Eukaryota; Metazoa; Arthropoda; Arachnida; Ixodida; Ixodidae. The record is from RefSeq and is a predicted model, not a curated record. The transcript is spliced from 3 exons.
UUUUUUAGCACGCAGUCAACUGCCAGAAGUGACUCAACCACAGGCCACCAGAGGUACUCAGCUGUACCACUGCACUGCUUCUAAAAUUUCCAGCACCAGCGGCUUUGUAACAGCUGUUUCACAGCAUCUCGGAAUCAAUGCCUACGAAAUUAUUGGCCCUGAUGACGAGAGCCCUCAAGGGGGCAAACGACAUCUCUGUUGCAGAAGCGAGCCCGAUACCACCUGAAGAUACCAUGACAGAUGACACGGCUGCAAUAGAUACAGAGACUGCCGUGUCUAAUGCAGCUGCAACGCUGUACGAGGCAAGCAGCAGCACAUCAGCAUCAGCAGUAGUGUCAGC